CGUACAAGUAUAGGCUCGCACCUGCGCGUGCACACAAGCAGUACUCACAGACGAGCGUUGGCUCUGGGCUGCCAGAAGCAAUGUCGCGCACCGCGGAGACCGUGGAGGAGCUAGCGCGGCGCUACUACCUUACGACAGCGCUUGUGGAGGAAGCGGGGCGUCUCUUUGAUACUUACGCUGGAAGCGGAGAUGCGCCGCCGGCGAACAGUAACGAGGAGCCCUUUAUCACGGUGCCUGGGCUGCAGCGGCUUAUGGUGAAGAUGGGCACCCCCAUCUCGCAGCAUGGCGUGGUAGAGCUACUCCGCUUCUUUGGCAGCGCCGCUGCUGUCGCUGUCAAGGAAGUUGAACUGUCGGACGGUCCUGCCAACGGCCAACAGUCUCCAGCGGUAAAGGGGGCUCGUUCUCCCGUAGCGGCGACGGCACCUGCAAGUCAGCAGCCUUCAUCACGCCAGAGAAAAAAGAAAAGCGGUGCAACGGCGCAGAAGACUGGCGCCAAAGAUGCCUUUGAAUCCUCGACGAAGCUUGGCGCAGACCACAGCGCAGGCUGUGGAGCCAGUAGUGGCACUGCAUCUGCAAACUCAUCGCCGUUGGCGGCGCCGCUACAUGUCGCGGCACUUCCCUCCGCGGUCACAGCGGAGGGCAUGAAUUUUUCCGCUUUUGUGUACUUUCUUUUGGUGUACCCUGAACUGUCUCAGCGACCCUCGGGGAUGGCGGCAACCGCAUCAACGACCAACGCCGCCACACGGAGCGGUCUCCAUGUCAGUAUUCCAGAGCUCUUUGCGACGAUCGACGCUGACGCAGAUGGGGUAUGGAGCGUGCACGACCUACGCCACGCUGCCGAGGUGUGCGUAAGGGAAGAUGAUGGACUCCUUCAGGAAGACCCCGAUCUGUGCCACUUGGCAGAAAUGCACCCGGCGGAGCUCGCGGUCGCCCUUCACGAGCUGGACGUUGAUGGGGACGGCGUUGUGACUUUAGACGAUGUACGGCAGGCACUGUAUUACUGAACACGAGCAGGACCAGAGCGGUGGAGCCGCUGCGCCUCAUGGCAGCGCUGCUCAAGUCUUGUGUGUGCGUAUGUGUGUGGGGGGAAGCAGGAAGGUGGGGAGGAUUGCGAUGGUGGCGCGGCUCAUUUUUUGCUCCCCCCCCCUACGGGCCUGCCUCCCUACACACACACACAUGCACGUAUACCUCUAUCCUUCCACUAUCACUCCUCUCCGACAUGCAGAAG
Molecule: unclassified non-coding RNA, 1228 nt
Filed under: Leishmania donovani
Lineage: Eukaryota; Euglenozoa; Kinetoplastea; Trypanosomatida; Trypanosomatidae
Description: gene:LdHU3.23.0830(CDS-product:EF-hand_domain_con taining_protein_putative)
Source: RNAcentral